This 214-nucleotide ribosomal RNA is filed under the name uncultured bacterium. RNAcentral describes it as "partial 16S ribosomal RNA". It matches the Rfam family "Bacterial small subunit ribosomal RNA", at positions 120 to 334 of the family's 1533-position model. The record is from RNAcentral.
UGUAACCUACCUUCUUCAGGGGGAUAGCCUCUCGAAAGAGAGAUUAAGACCGCAUAACAUUGAGCUGCAGCAUUGCAAUUCAAUCAAAUAUUUAUAGGAAGAAGAUGGGCAUGCGGAACAUUAGCUAGUUGGUAAGGUAAUGGCUUACCAAGGCUACGAUGUUUAGGGGAUCUGAGAGGAUGGCCCCCCACACUGGUACUGAGACACGGACCAG